GGGCCCGCACAAGCGGUGGAGCAUGUGGUUUAAUUCGAUGAUACGCGAGGAACCUUACCUAGGCUUAAAUGUAGAUUGACUUAUUGGGAAACCAGUAUUUCUUCGGACAAUCUACAAGGUGCUGCAUGGUUGUCGUCAGCUCGUGCCGUGAGGUGUCGGGUUAAGUCCCAUAACGAGCGCAACCCCUAUCAUUAGUUGCUAACAUUUAGUUGAGGACUCUAAUGAAACUGCCCGCGUAAGCGGUGAGGAAGGUGGGGAUGACGUCAAAUCAUCACGGCCCUUACGUCUAGGGCUACACACGUGCUACAAUGGUAACUACAGAGGGAAGCUAGCUGGUGACAGUAAGCAAAUCCUUAAAAGUUAUCCCAGUUCGGAUUGAAGUCUGCAACUCGACUUCAUGAAGCAGGAAUCGCUAGUAAUCGCGCAUC
Molecule: ribosomal RNA, 428 nt
Filed under: uncultured bacterium
Lineage: Bacteria
Description: bacterial SSU rRNA
Rfam family: Bacterial small subunit ribosomal RNA
Source: RNAcentral